This 84-nucleotide transfer RNA is filed under the name Sulfitobacter sp. Its description in RNAcentral is "tRNA-Leu". It matches the Rfam family "tRNA". Rfam says of the family: Transfer RNA (tRNA) molecules are approximately 80 nucleotides in length. Their secondary structure includes four short double-helical elements and three loops (D, anti-codon, and T loops). Lineage: Bacteria; Pseudomonadati; Pseudomonadota; Alphaproteobacteria; Rhodobacterales; Roseobacteraceae. The record is from RNAcentral. RNAcentral also lists the same sequence under 2 other names.
GCCCGAGUGGCGGAAUGGUAGACGCAGGGGAUUCAAAAUCCCCCGCCGCAAGGCGUGCCGGUUCGAGUCCGGCCUUGGGUACCA